UUCCUGGUAGUCCAGUGGUUAGGACUCCGCACUUUCAUUGCUGAGGCCCAGGUUCAAUUCCUCCUUAGGGAA
This 72-nucleotide transfer RNA is filed under the name Ovis aries (sheep). It matches the Rfam family "tRNA". Rfam says of the family: Transfer RNA (tRNA) molecules are approximately 80 nucleotides in length. The record is from Rfam by way of RNAcentral. Lineage: Eukaryota; Metazoa; Chordata; Mammalia; Artiodactyla; Bovidae.